AACGAACGCUGGCGGCAGGCCUAACACAUGCAAGUCGAACGCCGUAGCAAUACGGAGUGGCAGACGGGUGAGUAACACGUGGGAACGUACCCUUCGGUUCGGGAUAACUCAGGGAAACUUGAGCUAAUACCGGAUACGUCCGAGAGGAGAAAGAUUUAUCGCCGAGGGAUCGGCCCGCGUCUGAUUAGCUUGUUGGUGAGGUAACGGCUCACCAAGGCGACGAUCAGUAGCUGGUCGAGAGGAUGAUCAGCCACAUUGGGACUGAGACACGGCCCAAACUCCUACGGGAGGCAGCAGUGGGGAAUAUUGGACAAUGGGCGCAAGCCUGAUCCAGCCAUGCCGCGUGAGUGAUGAAGGCCCUAGGGUUGUAAAGCUCUUUUACCCGGGAAGAUAAUGACUGUACCGGGAGAAUAAGCCCCGGCUAACUUCGUGCCAGCCGCCGCAGUAAC
This 449-nucleotide ribosomal RNA is filed under the name uncultured bacterium. Its description in RNAcentral is "bacterial SSU rRNA". It matches the Rfam family "Bacterial small subunit ribosomal RNA", at positions 29 to 524 of the family's 1533-position model. The record is from RNAcentral.